RNAcentral lists this ribosomal RNA (688 nucleotides) under uncultured bacterium. Its description in RNAcentral is "bacterial SSU rRNA". It matches the Rfam family "Bacterial small subunit ribosomal RNA", at positions 114 to 801 of the family's 1533-position model. The record is from RNAcentral.
CACGUAUGGAACCUGCCCGCAGCAGGGGGAUAAGCGGAACAAAUUCCGUCUAAUACCGCGUAAGAACGUUGGGAGGCAUCUCCCGAUGUUUAAAGAUUUAUCGGCUGCGGAUGGCCAUGCGGCGCAUUAGCUAGUCGGCGGGGUAACGGCCCACCGAGGCGACGAUGCGUAGGGGUUCUGAGAGGAAGGUCCCCCACACUGGUACUGAGACACGGACCAGACUCCUACGGGAGGCAGCAGUGAGGAAUAUUGGUCAAUGGCCGAGAGGCUGAACCAGCCAAGUCGCGUGAGGGAAGACGGCCCUACGGGUUGUAAACCUCUUUUGUCGGGGAGCAAAGCGAACCACGUGUGGUUCAUUGAGAGUACCCGAAGAAAAAGCAUCGGCUAACUCCGUGCCAGCAGCCGCGGUAAUACGGAGGAUGCGAGCGUUAUCCGGAUUUAUUGGGUUUAAAGGGUGCGCAGGCGGAGGUGCAAGUCAGCGGUCAAAUUGCGGGGCUCAACCCCGUACUGCCGUUGAAACUGCAUCCCUUGAGUGCGCGAGAAGUAUGCGGAAUGCGUGGUGUAGCGGUGAAAUGCAUAGAUAUCACGCAGAACUCCGAUUGCGAAGGCAGCAUACCGGCGCGCAACUGACGCUCAUGCACGAAAGCGUGGGUAUCGAACAGGAUUAGAUACCCUGGUAGUCCACGCA